Molecule: unclassified non-coding RNA, 321 nt
Organism: Saccoglossus kowalevskii
Lineage: Eukaryota; Metazoa; Hemichordata; Enteropneusta; Harrimaniidae
Source: RefSeq, a predicted model, not a curated record
AGGUGAAUCAUUGGAGUCAGAAUGUGAGAAUAAUGGCACUGUUUAUCAAAAUGGUAGCAAUUUUCAUCUAAAUCCAUGUACACAUUGUGUUUGUAUGAAUGGUCAUAUAACAUGUGAAGUAGAAGAGUGUGUUCGCUUUGACUGUGCAAGUGAUAUGUGGAUCAAUAAACCUGAUAUGUGCUGUUCAGUAUGUGCAGGUCCAUCUGAUUGUCAGUUUGAAAACAGGUUUCAUGAAGAUGGUGAUACUUUCAUUCCAGUUGCAGACAAAUGUGCCCUGUGUACAUGCAAGGUAGGAUAGAAAUAUAUAUUACCAGAGGUACA